Molecule: ribosomal RNA, 253 nt
Filed under: uncultured bacterium
Lineage: Bacteria
Description: partial 16S ribosomal RNA
Rfam family: Bacterial small subunit ribosomal RNA
Source: RNAcentral
UACGUAGGGUGCAAGCGUUAAUCGGAAUUACUGGGCGUAAAGCGUGCGCAGGCGGUUUUGUAAGACUGUCGUGAAAUCCCCGGGCUUAACCUGGGAAUGGCGAUGGUGACUGCAAGGCUAGAGUUUGGCAGAGGGGGGUAGAAUUCCACGUGUAGCAGUGAAAUGCGUAGAUAUGUGGAGGAAUACCGAUGGCGAAGGCAGCCCCCUGGGAUAACACUGACGCUCAUGCACGAAAGCGUGGGGAGCAAACAGG